GAUCAUGGCUCAGGACGAACGCUGGCGGCGCGCCUAACACAUGCAAGUCGAACGGAGUUUACAGGCAGAAGUUUUCGGAUGGAAGCUUGUAAACUUAGUGGCGGACGGGUGAGUAACACGUGAGCAACCUGCCUAUCAGAGGGGGAUAACGAUUGGAAACGAUCGCUAAUACCGCAUGACAUAGCGGAACCGCAUGGUUCUGUUAUCAAAGAUUUUAUCGCUGAUAGAUGGGCUCGCG
Molecule: ribosomal RNA, 238 nt
Filed under: uncultured bacterium
Lineage: Bacteria
Description: partial 16S ribosomal RNA
Rfam family: Bacterial small subunit ribosomal RNA
Source: RNAcentral